CACACGCUAAGACGGUAACGCCAGCCAAGCGCAUUCUACACAAGCAAUCAGUGCUUGCGUGUGUGUGUAUGCUCUACAGAGUUGUUGUGGUAAAUGCGCGCCGCGUCCGUUCGUUCGUCUUGUCGUUCGUCGCGCGCUCGCUCGCUCGCUAGUUGUUCGUUAUCGUUUGACCGCUCGCCGCUGGACCACCCAAUCGAAUUGAUGACGGACCGCAUGUGCGCUAUAAACAAAUAACGGUAGUUUGUUGUUUGAGGUGUGUGUGUGUGGUGUUUUUUAUGUGGCAGCACGACGCACUCAAAGCGUUGAAUUGUUGUGUGGCAUGUGAGUUGCCAACGCUUUUGUCAAAAACAAAAAAUUAUCACGAAAAUGAAAAUGAGUGCAAAUUGCAAGACAAAACAAUGAAAAACAAUUCCAUUCAAAUCCCACUUGAGGGCCUUGAACGCCAUGCUAUGCGACAAUUACAAAUGCAAGUACACACAUACACGCACAUAUGUACAUAUUCACCUUGCCGCUGAGAUGGUGAAUUAAAGGCGAAGCACGAAACUCACACUGUCAAGGCGACAGCGAACGAAAUCACACGCAUAUUUGGCGAAAAACAAAAGCGAAAAAUUUGCAAAAACACAAAAACAGAAAUAGAAAAUUCUUGAGGAAAAUUUGCGAGACGCAAAAAACAAGAAAAAUUAUAACAAAACCUCUUAAAAGUGCACAGCACACAUGUCUGCGUAUGCAUAAAGGGUGUGUCGUUAAAUGAGGCGCGCGUGGGCCCAGCAUUGUUAUCACGCGCUGAUGAAUGGCAUGUGGUGAUGGCGGGAGCAGCGGAGGGGCAAAAUUGCUUUUAAAAAAAUCUGCGCGAAAACUUAAACCCAGCAGGCAGCCAGCGAACUUUGGCCCGCCUACAUUAACAAUUUCUACCAUUUCUUCGCGUGCUUCUUCUUCUUCUGCGCCUUCUUUAAUACUGCUGCUUCGACGUUUGUGACGCGCUUAUGCAAAUGACAUAGUGACUGAACUGUUGUUGUUGCUAUUAUUGCUAUUAUUACUGCUGGAGGUGUCAGCGUCAACAGCAGCAGCCAAACAGCACACCGAAACAACAACAACAACAAAAGUCAUACACUAUUAAAUGCUUGUCCUUGCACAUUAUUCUUCGCACAACUCAGCCAAGCAGCGGCGCAACCGAGGCAAGGCAAGACGACUGCGGCGAAUUUAGGAGACACAAUUUAAGCGCACACCAGUUUUGUUGUUGUUGUUGGCGCUCGCAUGAAUGGGGUGGCCGCAUAACAAUAAGCAGCUGCUGUGUUGGCCCAACAACGUCGGCAAAGUGGAGAAAAAUUAACUCGAACGAAUAUUCAUGCAUGUGCGCGGCUAAAUGCGUGUGCGUAUGUGUUGGCGAAAGUGCGAGUGUUAAAUUUUAAAGCAAAUUUAGUGAAUAAAUAAAGGCAAUGCGAAACUAAUGUAGUGAAUAAUCGAAAAUUCUGUGCUAUUUGUGUAGUGGUGGCGUAAACAAAAAAAUUUAAAUGUGCAAAAAAUACACUUACGGGCUACAAGUGUGUUAAAAAUUAAAUUGAAAUAAAAAAAAUUAAACAAAAAAAUUUAAAAAUAUUUGAAAA
This is a long non-coding RNA of Bactrocera dorsalis (oriental fruit fly), 1604 nucleotides long. RefSeq lists it as uncharacterized. The record is from RefSeq and is a predicted model, not a curated record. The transcript has 2 exons. NCBI's taxonomy places the organism in Eukaryota, Metazoa, Arthropoda, Insecta, Diptera, Tephritidae.